AUCCAGUUGAUGAGUCGCAAAUAAGAAGAAACGCGCAUCCUGGAU
This 45-nucleotide non-coding RNA is filed under the name Schistosoma bovis. The record is from RNAcentral. Lineage: Eukaryota; Metazoa; Platyhelminthes; Trematoda; Strigeidida; Schistosomatidae. RNAcentral also lists the same sequence under 1 other name.